RNAcentral lists this ribosomal RNA (530 nucleotides) under uncultured bacterium. Its description in RNAcentral is "bacterial SSU rRNA". It matches the Rfam family "Bacterial small subunit ribosomal RNA", at positions 356 to 896 of the family's 1533-position model. The record is from RNAcentral.
GGGGAAUAUUGCACAAUGGGCGCAAGCCUGAUGCAGCGACGCCGCGUGGGGGAUGACGGCCUUCGGGUUGUAAACUCCUUUCGCCAGGGACGAAGCGUUUUGUGACGGUACCUGGAGAAGAAGCACCGGCUAACUACGUGCCAGCAGCCGCGGUAAUACGUAGGGUGCAAGCGUUGUCCGGAAUUACUGGGCGUAAAGAGCUCGUAGGUGGUUUGUCACGUCGUCUGUGAAAUUCCACAGCUUAACUGUGGGCGUGCAGGCGAUACGGGCUGACUUGAGUACUGUAGGGGUAACUGGAAUUCCUGGUGUAGCGGUGAAAUGCGCAGAUAUCAGGAGGAACACCGAUGGCGAAGGCAGGUUACUUGGCAGUUACUGACGCUGAGGAGCGAAAGCAUGGGUAGCAAACAGGAUUAGAUACCCUGGUAGUCCAUGCCGUAAACGGUGGGCGCUAGGUGUAGGGACCUUUUGGGGUUUCUGUGCCGUAGCUAACGCAUUAAGCGCCCCGCCUGGGGAGUACGGCCGCAAAGCUA